GUACACUCCUGCGGGAGGCAGCAGUGGGGAAUUUUGGACAAUGGGCGAAAGCCUGAUCCAGCAAUGCCGCGUGAGUGAAGAAGGCCUUCGGGUUGUAAAGCUCUUUUGUCAGGGAAGAAACGGUGAAAGCUAAUAUCUUUUGCUAAUGACGGUACCUGAAGAAUAAGCACCGGCUAACUACGUGCCAGCAGCCGCGGUAAUACGUAGGGUGCAAGCGUUAAUCGGAAUUACUGGGCGUAAAGCGUGCGCAGGCGGUUUUGUAAGUCUGAUGUGAAAUCCCCGGGCUCAACCUGGGAAUUGCAUUGGAGACUGCAAGGCUAGAAUCUGGCAGAGGGGGGUAGAAUUCCACGUGUAGCAGUGAAAUGCGUAGAUAUGUGGAGGAACACCGAUGGCGAAGGCAGCCCCCUGGGUCAAGAUUGACGCUCAUGCACGAAAGCGUGGGGAGCAAACAGGAUUAGAUACCCUGGUAGUCCCA
Molecule: ribosomal RNA, 475 nt
Filed under: uncultured organism
Description: partial 16S ribosomal RNA
Rfam family: Bacterial small subunit ribosomal RNA
Source: RNAcentral